GACGAACGCUGGCGGCGGGCUUAACACAUGCAAGUCGAACGGAAAGGCCCUGCUUUUGUGGGGUGCUCGAGUGGCGAACGGGUGAGUAACCCGUGAGUAACCUGCACUUGACUGUGGGAUAACUUCAGGAAACUGGGGCUAUUCCCGGAUAGGAGCUCCUGCUGCAUGGUGGGGGUUGGUAAGUUUCGGUGGUUGGGGAUGUACUCGCGGCUUAUCAGCUUGUUGGUGGGGUAGUGGCUUAGCAAGGCUUUGAGGGGUAGCCGGCCUGCGAGGGUGACCGGCUCCAUUACGACUGGAAUGCGACCCAGACUACUACGGGAGGCGAGAGUGGGGAAGGUUACACAGCGGGCGGGGGGCAGGUGCGACAACGCCGCGUGGGGGAUAUGGUCCAUCUGUUUGGAUAGCGCUUUUGUCUGAGACGAGGCGAGAGUGACGGUAAUGGGUGAAGAAGCACCGGCUAACUACGUG
RNAcentral lists this ribosomal RNA (468 nucleotides) under uncultured bacterium. Its description in RNAcentral is "partial 16S ribosomal RNA". It matches the Rfam family "Bacterial small subunit ribosomal RNA", at positions 28 to 507 of the family's 1533-position model. The record is from RNAcentral.